UACGGAGGAUGCGAGCGUUAUCCGGAUUUAUUGGGUUUAAAGGGUGCGUAGGCGGGAUGCCAAGUCAGCGGUAAAAAUGCGGUGCUCAACGCCGUCGAGCCGUUGAAACUGGCGUUCUUGAGUGGGCGAGAAGUAUGCGGAAUGCGUGGUGCAGCGGUGAAAUGCAUAGAUAUCACGCAGAACUCCGAUUGCGAAGGCAGCAUACCGGCGCCCUACUGACGCUGAGGCACGAAAGCGUGGGUAUAGAACAGG
Molecule: ribosomal RNA, 252 nt
Filed under: uncultured bacterium
Lineage: Bacteria
Description: partial 16S ribosomal RNA
Rfam family: Bacterial small subunit ribosomal RNA
Source: RNAcentral